UGCCAGCCGCCGCGGUAAUACGAAGGGUGCUAGCGUUGUUCGGAAUUACUGGGCGUAAAGCGCGCGUAGGCGGUUAUAUUAGUCAGAUGUGAAAGUCCAUGGCUCAACCAUGGAAGUGCAUUUGAAACUGUGUAACUUGAGUACUGGAGGGGGUGGUGGAAUUCCCGGUGUAGAGGUGAAAUUCGUAGAUAUCGGGAGGAAUACCGGUGGCGAAGGCGACCACCUGGACGGGUACUGACGCUGAGACGCGAAAGCGUGGGGAGCAAACAGGAUUAGAUA
Molecule: ribosomal RNA, 279 nt
Filed under: uncultured bacterium
Lineage: Bacteria
Description: partial 16S ribosomal RNA
Rfam family: Bacterial small subunit ribosomal RNA
Source: RNAcentral